AGAGUUUGAUCCUGGCUCAGGACGAACGCUGGCGGCGUGCCUAAUACAUGCAAGUCGAGCGGAUGAUGAAGAAGCUUGCUUCUUCUGAUUUAGCGGCGGACGGGUGAGUAACACGUGGGCAACCGGCCCUGUAGAUUGGGAUAACUCCGGGAAACCGGGGCUAAUACCGAAUAAUCCAUUCCCUCACAUGAGGAAAUGUUAAAAGACGGCAUCUCGCUGUCACUACAGGAUGGGCCCGCGGCGCAUUAGCUAGUUGGUGAGGUAACGGCUCACCAAGGCGACGAUGCGUAGCCGACCUGAGAGGGUGAUCGGCCACACUGGGACUGAGACACGGCCCAGACUCCUACGGGAGGCAGCAGUGGGGAAUAUUGCACAAUGGGCGAAAGCCUGAUGCAGCGACGCCGCGUGAGGGACGAAGGCCUUCGGGUUGUAAACCUCUUUCAGCAGGGAAGAAGCGAAAGUGACGGUACCUGCAGAAGAAGGGCCGGCUAACUACGUGCCAGCAGCCGCGGUAAUACGUAGGGCGCAAGCGUUAUCCGGAAUUAUUGGGCGUAAAGAGCUCGUAGGCGGUUUGUCGCGUCUGCUGUGAAAGCCCGGGGCUCAACCCCGGGUCUGCAGUGGGUACGGGCAGACCAGAGUGCAGUAGGGGAGACUGGAAUUCCUGGUGUAGCGGUGAAAUGCGCAGAUAUCAGGAGGAACACCGAUGGCGAAGGCAGGUCUCUGGGCUGUAACUGGCGCUGAGGAGCGAAAGCAUGGGGAGCGAACAGGAUUAGAUACCCUGGUAGUCCAUGCCGUAAACGUUGGGCACUAGGUGUGGGGGACAUUCCACGUUUUCCGCGCCGUAGCUAACGCAUUAAGUGCCCCGCCUGGGGAGUACGGCCGCAAGGCUAAAACUCAAAGGAAUUGACGGGGGCCCGCACAAGCGGCGGAGCAUGCGGAUUAAUUCGAUGCAACGCGAAGAACCUUACCAAGGCUUGACAUGAACCGGAAAGGCCUGGAAACAGGUCCCCCACUUGUGGCCGGUUUACAGGUGGUGCAUGGUUGUCGUCAGCUCGUGUCGUGAGAUGUUGGGUUAAGUCCCGCAACGAGCGCAACCCUCGUUCUAUGUUGCCAGCGGGUUAUGCCGGGGACUCAUAGGAGACUGCCGGGGUCAACUCGGAGGAAGGUGGGGACGACGUCAAAUCAUCAUGCCCCUUAUGUCUUGGGCUUCACGCAUGCUACAAUGGCCGGUACAAAGGGUUGCGAUACUGUGAGGUGGAGCUAAUCCCAAAAAGCCGGUCUCAGUUCGGAUUGAGGUCUGCAACUCGACCUCAUGAAGUUGGAGUCGCUAGUAAUCGCAGAUCAGCAACGCUGCGGUGAAUACGUUCCCGGGCCUUGCACACACCGCCCGUCAAG
This 1395-nucleotide ribosomal RNA is filed under the name uncultured bacterium. RNAcentral describes it as "partial 16S ribosomal RNA". It matches the Rfam family "Bacterial small subunit ribosomal RNA". The record is from RNAcentral.